CUCUAUCUGACGAGUUUCAUAAAAGACGAAACUCUAGUCCUGGAU
Molecule: non-coding RNA, 45 nt
Organism: Schistosoma rodhaini
Lineage: Eukaryota; Metazoa; Platyhelminthes; Trematoda; Strigeidida; Schistosomatidae
Source: Rfam